RNAcentral lists this ribosomal RNA (365 nucleotides) under uncultured bacterium. Its description in RNAcentral is "bacterial SSU rRNA". It matches the Rfam family "Bacterial small subunit ribosomal RNA", at positions 28 to 397 of the family's 1533-position model. The record is from RNAcentral.
GAUGAACGCUAGCGGCAGGCCUAACACAUGCAAGUCGAGGGGUAGAGUUCUUCGGGACUUGAGACCGGCGCACGGGUGCGUAACGCGUAUGCAAUCUACCUUAUACAGGGGAAUAGCCCCAGAGAAAUUUGGAUUAAUGCCCCAUAGUAUUAUUGAAUGGCAUCAUUUGAUAAUUAAAGUUCCAACGGUAUAAGAUGAGCAUGCGUCCAUUAGUUAGUUGGUAAGGUAACGGCUUACCAAGACAAUGAUGGGUAGGGUCCUGAGAGGGAGAUCCCCCGACACUGGUACUGAGACACGGACCAGACUCCUACGGGAGGCAGCAGUGAGGAAUAUUGGUCAAUGGGCGCAAGCCUGAACCAGCAUGC